This 442-nucleotide ribosomal RNA is filed under the name uncultured bacterium. RNAcentral's name for it is "bacterial SSU rRNA". It matches the Rfam family "Bacterial small subunit ribosomal RNA", at positions 958 to 1398 of the family's 1533-position model. The record is from RNAcentral.
AACGCGAAGAACCUUACCAGGGUUUGACAUCCUCUGAAACCCGCAGAAAUGCGGUCCCCAUGGCAACAUGGCAGAGAGACAGGUGCUGCAUGGCUGUCGUCAGCUCGUGUCGUGAGAUGUUGGGUUAAGUCCCGCAACGAGCGCAACCCUCGUCGAGUGUUGCCAUCAUUCAGUUGGGCACUCACUCGAGACCGCCGUUGAUAAGACGGAGGAAGGUGGGGAUGACGUCAAGUCCGCAUGGCCCUUACAUCCUGGGCUACACACGUGCUACAAUGGCCGGUACAACGAGCAGCAAGACCGCGAGGUCAAGCUAAUCUCCUAAAGCCGGUCUCAGUUCGGAUCGAAGGCUGCAACUCGCCUUCGUGAAGUCGGAAUCGCUAGUAACCGCAGAUCAGCUACGCUGCGGUGAAUACGUUCCCGGGCCUUGUACACACCGGAGUGC